RNAcentral lists this ribosomal RNA (253 nucleotides) under uncultured bacterium. Its description in RNAcentral is "partial 16S ribosomal RNA". It matches the Rfam family "Bacterial small subunit ribosomal RNA", at positions 524 to 776 of the family's 1533-position model. The record is from RNAcentral.
UACGGAGGGUGCAAGCGUUAAUCGGAAUGACUGGGCGUAAAGGGUGCGUAGGUUGCAAUGUAAGUUAUAGGUAAAAUCACUGGGCUCAACCUGGUUAGGAAUUAUAAUACUGCAUAGCUAGAGGAUGGGAGAGGGUAGUGGAAUUUCCGGUGUAGCGGUGAAAUGCGUAGAGAUCGGAAGGAACACCAGUUGCGAAGGCGGCUACCUGGCCUAUUACUGACACUGAGGCACGAAAGCGUGGGGAGCAAACAGG